GCGCCUGUAGCUCAGGGGAUAGAGCGUGCGCCUCCGGAGCGCAAGGUCGCAGGUUCGAUUCCUGCCAGGCGCAUCA
RNAcentral lists this transfer RNA (76 nucleotides) under Actinomycetes bacterium. Its description in RNAcentral is "Actinobacteria bacterium tRNA-Arg". It matches the Rfam family "tRNA". From Rfam's summary of the family: Transfer RNA (tRNA) molecules are approximately 80 nucleotides in length. Their secondary structure includes four short double-helical elements and three loops (D, anti-codon, and T loops). Lineage: Bacteria; Bacillati; Actinomycetota; Actinomycetes. The record is from RNAcentral.